UGCCAGCCGCCGCGGUAAUACGGAGGGUGCGAGCGUUAAUCGGAAUUACUGGGCGUAAAGCGCACGCAGGCGGUUUGUUAAGCUAGAUGUGAAAGCCCCGGGCUCAACCUGGGAUGGUCAUUUAGAACUGGCAGACUAGAGUUUUGGAGAGGGGAGUGGAAUUCCAGGUGUAGCGGUGAAAUGCGUAGAUAUCGGAAGGAACACCAGUGGCGAAGGCGACUUCCUGGGCCAAUACUGACGCUGAGGUGCGAAAGCGUGGGGAGCAAACAGGAUUAGAUA
RNAcentral lists this ribosomal RNA (279 nucleotides) under uncultured bacterium. Its description in RNAcentral is "partial 16S ribosomal RNA". It matches the Rfam family "Bacterial small subunit ribosomal RNA", at positions 506 to 784 of the family's 1533-position model. The record is from RNAcentral.